GACGAACGCUGGCGGCGUGCUUAACACAUGCAAGUCGAACGGAAAGGCCCUGCGUUUGUGGGGUGCUCGAGUGGCGAACGGGUGAGUAACACGUGAGUAACCUGCCCUUGACUUUGGGAGAACUUCAGGAAACUGGGGCUAUAACAGGAUAGGAGCUCCUGCAGCGUGGUGGGGGUUGGAAAGUGUCGGCGGUUGGGGAUGGACUCGCGGCUUAUCAGCUGGAUGGGGGGGUAGGGGCUUACCAAGGCUUUGACGGGUAGCCGGCCUGAGAGGGUGACCGGCCACAUUGGGACUGAGAUAGGGCCCAGAAUCCUACGGGAGGCAGCAGUGGGGAACAUUGCACAAUGGGCGGAAGCCUGAUGCAGCAACGCCGCGUGCGGGAUGACGUCCUUCGGGUUGUAAACCGCUUUCGCCUGUGACGAAGCGUGAGUGACGGUAAUGGGUAAAGAAGCACCGGCUAACUACGUG
RNAcentral lists this ribosomal RNA (468 nucleotides) under uncultured bacterium. RNAcentral describes it as "partial 16S ribosomal RNA". It matches the Rfam family "Bacterial small subunit ribosomal RNA", at positions 28 to 507 of the family's 1533-position model. The record is from RNAcentral.